Chinchilla lanigera (long-tailed chinchilla) is the source of this 1898-nucleotide long non-coding RNA. RefSeq lists it as uncharacterized. The transcript has 2 exons. NCBI's taxonomy places the organism in Eukaryota, Metazoa, Chordata, Mammalia, Rodentia, Chinchillidae. The record is from RefSeq and is a predicted model, not a curated record.
CUGGCUCAGCAGGCAGAAGCUCUCAGGACUGAUUCCAGCAGUGGAAAUGGUAGGAUCUGCAGCCAGUGGGCAGCCAAGGCCCUGGAUCUAAAAUCUGUGCCUCACAUUGCCAACCUGGAAAAGGGCAUCUUAUUCUCCUGGGCCUGUCCACAUGGCUUGACUUCCUCACACAAUGGUGGCUUCUGAGAAGUGUGACUUCUUAUUCGGUGACUCAGAGUUCCAAGAACUGAGGUCCCAAGAGCUUGGAAGUGAACGCUGCUGGCCUUUUAAGACCUGGACCUAGGCAUUGCAUCCCAUCACUUCUCCCACAUUCUUUUGGCCAGUGUAGUCACAGUGCCUGCCCAGAAUCCAGGGCAGAGGACGCAAUACUCCGAAUCUUGUUGGGCAAGUGCAACAGGUAAUGAUCUGUGGCUGUCAUCUUUAAUCUACCCCACAGUCCUUUCAAUAAGGUAUGGGAGAUUGUGUUGCUACACAUCCUGUUAACAUUUAUUGUCAAAUUUCAAAAUUUUUUUGCCAACCUGGUGGGCAUGAAAAGACAGAAUAUUUUAGAACAUCAUUUAUUGAAUUUUUACUGUGCCAUAGGAACAAGGAUGAAUGAUGGUAAUUUUUUUCUUCUUCAUUUAAAUCUUAACCACAGACAUGAGGAGUAGAUAUUAUUACUUUCACAGAGGUUAACUAACAUGCCAGAGGUCAUAGAACAAACAAAUGCCAGAGUGUAAACUGGAACAGAGAUUUACCGCACUUCUAAGCCUGUGCUGUUAAUUUUUCCUUCUUAUCCCAAGAUGGGAGCUGGAAUGAUGGUUUGAGUAAGAGCUUGAACAAUAAAGAAAACGUAAAACUAUCAAACCAUGAUAACUAAGUAAAACAAAAUAAUAAGAAAACAUGACUUAAACAUUUUUAUUCAUCUAUAUGGGAGUGCCGUCUCUUCCUUCCUAUCAAGCAAUAAAACAAAAAAUUUAUUCUAGAAGAAAAAGUCAAACAACACCUCCUCCAAAAUCUAAAACAUUUAAAUGAUUGAUAGGAAUUGGUCUUACAGUUUUUAAAGAAGGAUUGCGGAUGACCUCAGGCUGUGUUGAGCUCAGGUGAAGAGACAGAUUUAGUCUUUUUAUCAAAUCAAGGCAGCGCUGCAGCUUCUGUGGUGUGGAAAAAGUAACUUCCACCAUGCGUGGGUUCCCAGGCUACGGGAAAAACCUGGAGAUACACACAGAUGUCUUAUGGCGAUGUGACCUAAUACAUUUUCUUGUCCUGUUUUAUUCCUGAUAAGGAUUCCUUUGUCUCUGGGUAACAUGUAUCUUCUUGGAUGUAUCUCAGAAAUAACUCAUCAGUUCAAGACAAAAUGCUUUGUGCAACCAUGUUAGUUGCUUAAUGCCUGGACUAAUUUUUAAUGAAAUCAAACCACUUGGAAUCAGUUCUUAGGUACAGUACUUCCUCCCCAAACUUCAGUCCCUCUCCGGGACUGAAUUAAUCUUCCCCAUCCUGCUAUUCUUAAUAUGUGCUUUACCAGGUGUGCUUUUCUUGUUCUGAGAACCCUUUGAAAAGACUCAAACUCAUUUUCCUCACCUUCAUUGCAUUUCAUUUAAAAAAUAUAUUUAGGAAGAGUAUCACAGCCAUACUCUUCUUCAAGAAGGGGAUUCAUCCUUAAAAAAGCAUGGAUAAGUGAUACCAUUAUGGUGCAGACACUAUAGAGUGCACUUUUCCAAGCUAAAAUGGUCAUGGCAUCACGAGGUGGUACAAUCUUAUGGGAUCAGUGAGGUUUAUGUAGUCAUUGACUGACACUGUUAUGAGGUACACGCCUAUAUUAAAAGGAAUUGGCUCAUGUGAUUAUGGAUUUUACUUCAUCUGAUAUAUUGUAUUUCAUUUUAACCAGCUUCUAUUUCAUUAAAAAUUAGUCUUUUCAA